GUUUAACGCUGGCGGCGUGCAUAACACAUGCCAGUCGAACGAUGAAACUUAAAUGAUUUCUUCGGAAUGAACUUAAGUGGAUUAGUGGCGGACGGGUGAGUAACGCGUGAGUAACCUGCCUUACACAAGGGGAUAGCCGUUGGAAACGACGAAUAAUACCCUAUGAAACUAUCACUUCGCAUGAAGCGAUAGUCAAAGUGUUAGCGGUGUAAGAUGGACUUGCGUCUGAUUAGCUAGUUGGUGAGAAAAAAGCCCACCAAGGCAACGAUCAGUAGCCGGCUUGAGAGAGUGUACGGCCACAUUGGGACUGAGACACGGCCCAGACUCCUACGGGAGGCAGCAGUGGGGAAUUUUGCACAAUGGGGGAAACCCUGAUGCAGCGACGCCGCGUGAUUUAGAAGGCCUUCGGGUUGUAAAAAUCUUUUGUAUAGGAAGAAAAUGACAGUACUAUACGAAUAAGGGCCGGCUAAUUACGUG
This 477-nucleotide ribosomal RNA is filed under the name uncultured bacterium. RNAcentral's name for it is "partial 16S ribosomal RNA". It matches the Rfam family "Bacterial small subunit ribosomal RNA", at positions 28 to 507 of the family's 1533-position model. The record is from RNAcentral.